UACGAAGGGGGCUAGCGUUGCUCGGAAUCACUGGGCGUAAAGGGUGCGUAGGCGGGUCUUUAAGUCAGGGGUGAAAUCCUGGAGCUCAACUCCAGAACUGCCUUUGAUACUGAAGAUCUUGAGUCCGGGAGAGGUGAGUGGAACUGCGAGUGUAGAGGUGAAAUUCGUAGAUAUUCGCAAGAACACCAGUGGCGAAGGCGGCUCACUGGCCCGGUACUGACGCUGAGGUGCGAAAGCGUGGGGAGCAAACAGGG
This 254-nucleotide ribosomal RNA is filed under the name uncultured bacterium. Its description in RNAcentral is "partial 16S ribosomal RNA". It matches the Rfam family "Bacterial small subunit ribosomal RNA", at positions 524 to 777 of the family's 1533-position model. The record is from RNAcentral.